This is a long non-coding RNA of Symphalangus syndactylus (siamang), 586 nucleotides long. RefSeq lists it as uncharacterized. NCBI's taxonomy places the organism in Eukaryota, Metazoa, Chordata, Mammalia, Primates, Hylobatidae. The record is from RefSeq and is a predicted model, not a curated record.
GCAGAGGGCGAGCAGGAGACAUCCAAAAGCAGCAGGUGAGGCAAAGAGGCCCAGACAAGGAAUCUGGAGUUCAAUGACGGGAGACGCACAGGGCAGAGCGAAAGGGGCAAGAGAAAUUUCAAAAGCGAGGAUGUGAGAUCUACCCUUAUACGGUUCACAGAUGAGUUAAGGAGUGCUAGAGAACAAGCAAAAUCAGUCCUCAAGCAUUUUCCUGCUUUUCUCAAAUAUGUGGGAAGACCUCUAAGCAGGAAGAGACACAGGUGGCUGUAGAUACAGGACUGAAGAAAACAGAUUAACUUGCUCAAGCUAAUUUCAGAAGGUUUAUACACCCAAGAAAAGUCAUUCAAACAAGCCUCAAGCUUAUUCAUAUACUACUCAAAUGUGGAGUCCCUAUUUCCUUUAAAUGUGUAAUACAAUUAUAUUUUCUUUAAUAUUAAUUUUGCUUCCUCCUUAGAAAGAAACCUACUUAUCUGUAAAUUACAUUUCAAAUCUAAUUAUCAUGUCAAUUUGCAGAUGGCUUAAUAAAGAAAAACAAUCGCAUGCCAGAUUUAAUCUGACUCUUUGGAUCUUUUGUAAUUUCAGUUAA